UCGCCCCGUGUUUUUAAAAACAUAGCCUAAAGUAUGGUUAAAAUGGCAUUUUAGGUAGCCCCUGCCCAGUGAUAUAUUUCUUAGUUUAACGGCCGCAGUACCCUGACUGUGCUAAGGUAGCAUAAUCAGUUGGCUUUUAAUUGAAGUCUGGAAUGAACGGGGUUUACGGGGGUAAGCUGUAUCAUUUAUUAUUUUUUUAAAAUUGGUUGUAAGGUGAAAAAACCUUAUUUUUUCAGAAAAAAGACGAGAAGACCCUUAGAAUCUUAAUUAAAAGAGCAUAAGUUUAAAGGUUUAGUUCUUCCAUUUUUGUUGGGGCGACAAAGAGAGCAAAAGACUUUUAGUUUUAGGAAAACCCUCUUAUAGUGAUACAUAAAACUUGACGAGAAUUUUAAGUAUGAGUAGAUUACCUUAGGGAUAACAGCGUUAUUUUAAAAAUAAGAUUGCGACCUCGAUGUUGGACUAGGGACUCCACGGCUAGCAGCCAUAAGAGAUGGUUCUGUUCGAACAUUUAACCCUACAUGAUCUGAGUUCAGACCGGA
Molecule: ribosomal RNA, 539 nt
Filed under: Microtralia cf. alba BD-2011
Lineage: Eukaryota; Metazoa; Mollusca; Gastropoda; Ellobiida; Ellobiidae
Description: partial 16S ribosomal RNA
Rfam family: Bacterial large subunit ribosomal RNA
Source: RNAcentral